CAGGAGGUUUAAAUGCUCUCUGACCUCAGUGAGCUCAAAUUCUCUCUGUGGAGAUAACUUUGCAGCUUGCAAAUGGGUCAGAGAACUGCCUGCCAGCUCGUGG
Non-coding RNA from Canis lupus familiaris (dog), 103 nucleotides. NCBI's taxonomy places the organism in Eukaryota, Metazoa, Chordata, Mammalia, Carnivora, Canidae. The record is from RefSeq and is marked provisional.